Molecule: transfer RNA, 81 nt
Organism: Vitrella brassicaformis
Lineage: Eukaryota; Vitrellaceae
Rfam family: tRNA
About the family: Transfer RNA (tRNA) molecules are approximately 80 nucleotides in length.
Source: Rfam
GACAGUUUGGCCGAGUGGUUAAGGCGGUGGACUCGAAAUCCACUGGGGUUACCCGCGCAGGUUCGAAUCCUGCAGCUGUCG